UACGGAGGGUCCAAGCGUUAUCCGUAAUCAUUGGGUUUAAAGGGUCCGCAGGCGGGCAAUUAAGUCAGGGGUGAAAUGGUGCGGCUCAACCGUAGCACUGCCCUUGAUACUGGUUGUCUUGAGUUAUAGUGAAGUGGCCGGAAUAUGUAGUGUAGCGGUGAAAUGCAUAGAUAUUACAUAGAACACCGAUCGCGAAGGCAGGUCACUAACCACUAACUGACGCUGAUGGACGAAAGCGUGGGUAGCAAACAGG
This 253-nucleotide unclassified non-coding RNA is filed under the name uncultured Flavobacteriaceae bacterium. Its description in RNAcentral is "contains 16S-23S intergenic spacer region". It matches the Rfam family "Bacterial small subunit ribosomal RNA", at positions 524 to 776 of the family's 1533-position model. The record is from RNAcentral. Lineage: Bacteria; Pseudomonadati; Bacteroidota; Flavobacteriia; Flavobacteriales; Flavobacteriaceae.